UCCGUAGGUGAACCUGCGGUUGGAUCAUUAACAAUGGGUUUUAUACCUUUACACUGUGUGAACUGUAAACGUACUUGGUGAGUUAGUUCUCAUUUGAGGAUUACUUACCACUAUUUUUAACCAUGUUUUAAUUGAGUCUUGAUUUUCUUGUACAAAAAGAAACAACUUUUGACAACGGAUCUCUUGGCUCUCGCAACGAUGAAGAACGCAGCGAAAUGCGAUACGUAAUGUGAAUUGCAGAAUUCAGUGAAUCAUCGAAUCUUUGAACGCAUAUUGCGCUCUUUGGUAUUCCGAAGAGCAUGCCUGUUUGAGUAUCUACUAAUCCUCAACCCACUUGUGGUGUUUGGAAAUGAGUUGUGUCUGUUAGACUAGCUUGAAAUGUAGUGUUGAGAGGGUGACUAGUUGUCUCUUGAGGAAUAGUAAUUGAAUGAGUGAUACUCAGCCUUUUCUUAGUACUUUAGUGAUAAUUUGGAGCCGUGCCUAUUGGUACUCUCAACAGUAAAACCAAAGAGCUUGCUCUGAACCAUGGUCUCAAAUCAGGUAGGAAAACCCGCUGAACUUAAGCAUAUCAAUAAGCGGAGGAAAAGAAACUAACAAGGAUUCCCCUAGUAACGGCGAGUGAAGCGGGAAGAGCUCAAAUUUGAAAUCUCACAGGUUUCCUGUGCGAAUUGUAGUUUAAAGAGUCGUUUUCUGGGGCCACUUGAGCACAAGUUCUUUGGAACAAGGCAUCAUAGAGGGUGAGAAUCCCGUCUUUGGUUCAAGAUGAGCUCCUUUGUGAUACGAUCUCAAAGAGUCGGUUUGCUUGGGAAUGCAGACCAAAAUGGGUGGUAAAUACCAUCUAAAGCUAAAUAUUGGCGAGAGACCGAUAGCGAACAAGUACCGUGAGGGAAAGAUGAAAAGAACUUUGAAAAGAGAGUUAAAUAGUACGUGAAAUUGUCAAAAGGGAAACGCUUGAAGU
This 958-nucleotide ribosomal RNA is filed under the name uncultured fungus. RNAcentral's name for it is "eukaryotic LSU rRNA". The stretch from base 527 to 958 matches the Rfam family "Eukaryotic large subunit ribosomal RNA", at positions 1 to 429 of the family's 3401-position model. The record is from RNAcentral. Lineage: Eukaryota; Fungi.